Long non-coding RNA from Sipha flava (yellow sugarcane aphid), 644 nucleotides. RefSeq lists it as uncharacterized. The transcript is spliced from 2 exons. Lineage: Eukaryota; Metazoa; Arthropoda; Insecta; Hemiptera; Aphididae. The record is from RefSeq and is a predicted model, not a curated record.
CACGUACAUUCGGUAAGAAAACGUACGUCCGAACACGUUUAAGGUCAUCGCUGCAUAUUAUUACACUGGACGGUACAUUGCAGAGUGGCACUUUCCAAAGUGCCGAGGAUUGACGACCGGAGAUGUAUUAGUAUUAAGUACCACACGGCAACAUAAUAAUAUUAUUGCGUCCAUCGUUUCGAAUGAUUGUAUCUACCCGAAAAGCAUACGUCAGUCGUACUCGGAUCGCUGUGCACGCGAAUGGUGUGACGAUCGAGUUAACCGGCUUAAAAAGUUUGUUAGAAGUCUGCACGGGUUCAACGUCAACGGACCCAUAAGUAGGACGAUGUAUGCGCGACCGUGCACAACAUUCGGUUAAGCCUGCGCAGUUCUGCAGCCGUUUUCGAAAAGUGAAAAAAAAUAAAUAAAAAUGAUUCAUCGAUCGUCGCUACCUUCAAACGAAAACCGUUCCUAUUAUCAACACCUGUGAAGACCAGACUAGUGAUAAUUUUUUCGGGUUCUGUUAUUGUUUUGUAGAAAUUUAGUUUGUAAUUUAUGUUUUGUUAUAUUUUUUUUUAAAUGUUUUUUACCAAAACGUUAUGUUUUAGGCUAUUCGGUCUGCGUGCAUUGUUACCGUGUUAAAUGAAUCGUUUUAUUGGUUCCCG